GGCGCACGGGUGAGUAACGCGUAUCCAACCUUCCCCCUACCCGGGUAUAGCCCGCCGAAAGGCGGAUUAAUCCCCGAUACGUCCCCUGACGGCAUCAGGCGGGGACGAAAGGUAUUCCGGUAAGGGAUGGGGAUGCGUCCGAUUAGCUUGUUGGCGGGGUAACGGCCCACCAAGGCAACGAUCGGUAGGGGUUCUGAGAGGAAGGUCCCCCACAUUGGAACUGAGACACGGUCCAAACUCCUACGGGAGGCAGCAGUGAGGAAUAUUGGUCAAUGGGCGGAAGCCUGAACCAGCCAAGUAGCGUGCAGGAUGACGGCCCUACGGGUUGUAAACUGCUUUUUUGCGGGAAUAAAGCGGCUCACGCGUGGGCCUUUGCAUGUACCGCACGAAUAAGGACCGGCUAAUUCCGUGCCAGCAGCCGCGGUAAUACGGAAGGUCCGGGCGUUAUCCGGAUUUAUUGGGUUUAAAGGGAGCGUAGGCCGCCUUUUAAGCGUGCUGUGAAAUACCGUUGCCCAACAACGGGGCUGCAGCGCGAACUGGAGGGCUUGAGUUCACGGGAAGCCGGCGGAAUUCGUCGUGUAGCGGUGAAAUGCUUAGAUAUGACGAAGAACUCCGAUUGCGAAGGCAGCCGGCUGUAGUGUUACUGACGCUGAAGCUCGAAAGUGCGGGUAUCGAACAGGAUUAGAUACCCUGGUAGUCCGCACGGUAAACGAUGGACGCCCGCUGUGCGCCCUUUAGGGUGCGCGGCCUAGCGAAAGCGUUAAGCGUCCCACCUGGGGAGUACGCCGGCAACGGUGCAACUCAAAUGAAUUGACGGA
RNAcentral lists this ribosomal RNA (818 nucleotides) under uncultured Bacteroidota bacterium. Its description in RNAcentral is "bacterial SSU rRNA". It matches the Rfam family "Bacterial small subunit ribosomal RNA", at positions 97 to 917 of the family's 1533-position model. Lineage: Bacteria; Pseudomonadati; Bacteroidota. The record is from RNAcentral.